RNAcentral lists this ribosomal RNA (406 nucleotides) under uncultured bacterium. RNAcentral describes it as "partial 16S ribosomal RNA". It matches the Rfam family "Bacterial small subunit ribosomal RNA", at positions 28 to 526 of the family's 1533-position model. The record is from RNAcentral.
GAUGAACGCUAGCUACAGGCUUAACACAUGCCAGUCGAGGGACCGGCGCACGGUUGAGUAACACGUAUCCAACCUGCCCUUUACUCGGGGAUAGCCUUUCGAAAGAAAGAUUAAUACCCGAUGUAAAGGAUGGGGUUGCGUUCCAUUAGGUUGUUGGUUAGGUAACGGCUAACCAAUGCUUCGAUGGUUAGGGGUUCUGAGAGGAAGGUCCGCCACGUUGAAACUGAGACACGGUCCAAACUCAUACGGGCGGCAGCAGUGAGGAAUAGUGGUCAAUGGGCGGUAGCCUGAACCAGCCGAGUAGCGUGAAGAAUGAAGGCUUAUGGGUCGUAAACUUCUUUUAUAUAAGAAUAUGUAUUAUAGGAAUAAGGAUCGGCUAACUCCGUGCCAGCAGCCGCGGUAAUAC